AUUAGUUAAGACUCUGCAUUGAACGAACAUGAAAUAUUUAUGCCACCUCUACGUUCUAACUUUGACACUACAUGCGAUACUUGCUUCAUACGGUGAACAGAGAAGGGAUAGGAUCUCAGCUCAAUUUAAGAAUUUUGGUUUAACGACCGAGAGAAGGGAGAGCAUUAUCAAUAUCCCAAAGCCGAAACAGCCUGGUCUAAGGUGGAUCGGUUUAUACGGCAUCGACAAGAAACGACCAUGUAAAAAGGGAAAUCGGCGGCGAAUAUUUUGCAAACAAUGAAUCAGAUUUCAUUUCUAUAUUAUUGUUUGAUGAUUUCUUAAUGCAAUUCAAAGUAAAAUGAUAAAUGAA
Molecule: long non-coding RNA, 349 nt
Organism: Magallana angulata
Lineage: Eukaryota; Metazoa; Mollusca; Bivalvia; Ostreida; Ostreidae
Exons: 3
Source: RefSeq, a predicted model, not a curated record